GACGAACGCUGGCGGCGUGCCUAAUACAUGCAAGUGGGACGCAAGGGAACACACUGUGCUUGCACACCGUGUUCUCUUGAGUCGCGAACGGGUGAGUAACGCGUAGGUAACCUGCCUAUUAGCGGGGGAUAACUAUUGGAAACGAUAGCUAAUACCGCAUAAUAUUAAUUAUUGCAUGAUAAUUGAUUGAAAGAUGCAAGCGCAUCACUAGUAGAUGGACCUGCGUUGUAUUAGCUAGUUGGUAAGGUAAGAGCUUACCAAGGCGACGAUACAUAGCCGACCUGAGAGGGUGAUCGGCCACACUGGGACUGAGACACGGCCCAGACUCCUACGGGAGGCAGCAGUAGGGAAUCUUCGGCAAUGGACGAAAGUCUGACCGAGCAACGCCGCGUGAGUGAAGAAGGUUUUCGGAUCGUAAAGCUCUGUUGUAAGUCAAGAACGUGUGUGAGAGUGGAAAGUUCACACAGUGACGGUAGCUACCAG
This 483-nucleotide ribosomal RNA is filed under the name Streptococcus mutans. RNAcentral describes it as "bacterial SSU rRNA". It matches the Rfam family "Bacterial small subunit ribosomal RNA", at positions 28 to 486 of the family's 1533-position model. The record is from RNAcentral. Lineage: Bacteria; Bacillati; Bacillota; Bacilli; Lactobacillales; Streptococcaceae.